AGAGUUUGAUCCUGGCUCAGAAUGAACGCUGGCGGCGCGCCUAAUACAUGCAAGUCGAGCGAGAAGACGUAGCAAUACGUUUGUAAAGCGGCGAACGGGUGAGGAAUACAUGGGUAACCUACCCUUGAGUGGGGAAUAACUAGCCGAAAGGUUAGCUAAUACCGCGUACGCUUCUUGGACUUCGGUUCAGGGAGGAAAGCGCUACCGUGGGUAGCGCGCUCUUGGAUGGGCUCAUGUCCUAUCAGCUUGUUGGUGAGGUAACGGCUCACCAAGGCUUCGACGGGUAGCUGGUCUGAGAGGACGAUCAGCCACACUGGCACUGCGACACGGGCCAGACUCCUACGGGAGGCAGCAGUAAGGAAUAUUGCGCAAUGGGCGAAAGCCUGACGCAGCGACGCCGCGUGGGGGAUGAAGGUCUUCGGAUUGUAAACCCCUUUCGGGAGGGAAGAUGGAAUGGGGUAACCCAUUCGGACGGUACCUCCAGAAGCAGCCACGGCUAACUUCGUGCCAGCAGCCGCGGUAAUACGAAGGUGGCAAGCGUUAUUCGGAUUUACUGGGCGUACAGGGAGCGUAGGCGGUUCGGUAAGCCCUCUGUGAAAUCUUCAGGCUUAACCUGGAAAGUGCAGAGGGGACUGCUUAGCUAGAGGACGGGAGAGGAGCGCGGAAUUCCCGGUGUAGCGGUGAAAUGCGUAGAGAUCGGGAGGAAGGCCGGUGGCGAAGGCGGCGCUCUGGAACGUUUCUGACACUGAGGCUCGAAAGCGUGGGGAGCAAACAGGAUUAGAUACCCUGGUAGUCCACGC
Molecule: ribosomal RNA, 800 nt
Filed under: uncultured bacterium
Lineage: Bacteria
Description: bacterial SSU rRNA
Rfam family: Bacterial small subunit ribosomal RNA
Source: RNAcentral